UCUAAUAUGGCAGAUUAGUGCAUUGGAUUUAAACCCCAAAAAUAAAGUUUAAACUUUUUUUAGAA
This 65-nucleotide transfer RNA is filed under the name Callosobruchus maculatus (cowpea weevil). It matches the Rfam family "tRNA". Rfam says of the family: Transfer RNA (tRNA) molecules are approximately 80 nucleotides in length. Their secondary structure includes four short double-helical elements and three loops (D, anti-codon, and T loops). The record is from Rfam by way of RNAcentral. Lineage: Eukaryota; Metazoa; Arthropoda; Insecta; Coleoptera; Chrysomelidae. RNAcentral also lists the same sequence under 4 other names.